RNAcentral lists this ribosomal RNA (373 nucleotides) under uncultured organism. RNAcentral describes it as "bacterial SSU rRNA". It matches the Rfam family "Bacterial small subunit ribosomal RNA", at positions 526 to 896 of the family's 1533-position model. The record is from RNAcentral.
CAGAGGGUGCGAGCGUUGUUCGGAAUUACUGGGCGUAAAGCGCGCGCAGGCGGCCUUUUAAGUCUGACGGUGAAAUGCCGGGGCUCAACCCCGUGCCCGCCGCGGAUACUGGGAGGCUGGAGACGAGUAGAGGCAAGCGGAAUUCCGGGUGUAGCGGUGGAAUGCGUAGAGAUCCGGAAGAACACCGGAGGCGAAGGCGGCUUGCUGGGCUCGGUCUGACGCUGAGGCGCGAAAGCGUGGGGAGCGAACAGGAUUAGAUACCCUGGUAGUCCACGCCGUAAACGAUGGGCACUAGACGCUGGUGGGAUCGACCCCUUCGGUGUCGCAGCUAACGCGUUAAGUGCCCCGCCUGGGGAGUACGGCUGCAAGGCUG